GUAAGGCUAGCGAUAGCUUGAGCUGACUGGUACUAAUAAGCCGUGCGGCUUGACCAUAU
Molecule: ribosomal RNA, 59 nt
Filed under: Acidobacteriota bacterium
Lineage: Bacteria; Pseudomonadati; Acidobacteriota
Description: Acidobacteria bacterium partial 23S ribosomal RNA
Source: RNAcentral